UAUAAGUUGUAAUAAAAAUAUUAAAUUAAGUUAAUAAAUUUAAUUAUGGUUUAAUAAUUAAUUUAAAAAUUUUUAUAUAUAUAAAUAUUAUAAAUUUAUUUAAUAUAGAGUUAUUGUAGUAUAUAGAUUUAAUAAUAUUAAAAAAAAUUAAUUUUUAGGAAUUUUUAUAAUUUAGAUUAAUAAUUGUGCCAGCAAUCGUGGUUAAACAAUUUAAGUAAAUUAAUUAAAUUAAGUUAAAAUUAAAUGGAGUUUUAUAAUAAUUAUUAGAAUUAUUAGGUGAAAUUAAUUAAUUUUAUUUUUUUUAUAUUAAGAAAAAAUUGAGUUUUUGAAAAAUUUUUAAAAAACUAGGAUUAGAUACCCUAUUAUAUAAUUUUAAAUAUGAAAUUUUAAUAUUAAAUGAUUAAUCAUUAAAUUUAAAUAAUUUGGCGGUAUUUUAAUUUUAUUAGAGGAAUUUGAUAAUUAAUUGAUAAAACUCGAUAAGAGUAACUUUAAUUUAAUUUUUAUAUUGUUGUUUAAAGAGUAUUUUUGAAAAAAAUAUUUAAAAUAUUUUUUUAAAAAAAAAAUUAAUUCAGAUCAAAAUGAAGUGUAUAUUAAAGUAUUAUUGAAUUACAAUAAAUUAAAUUUAAAUGGAUUUAUAAUUUAAAUAUUAUAAUAAAGGUGGAUUUAAAAGUAAAGUAAAAUAAUUAUUUUAAUUGAUUAAAAUUUUAAAAUAUGUACAAAUUGCCCGUCGUUCUCUUUGAAAAAGGAGGUAAGUCGUAACAAAGUAAAAGUACUGGAAAGUGUUUUUAGAUU
Molecule: non-coding RNA, 792 nt
Filed under: Chrysis niponica
Lineage: Eukaryota; Metazoa; Arthropoda; Insecta; Hymenoptera; Chrysididae
Source: RNAcentral